UCUUAUGGUUCAUGACCAAUAUGGUCCUCAAAUUAUUGCUCUAGUAUCAUUUUGGUCCACCAACUAAAAUUUUCAUUUCAAUUGUCAUUCAAUUAUUAAUUUGGUAUCAAAAUUGUCCUGUAGUCAAAGUCUGUCAACUAUUCCGUGAAAUUGAAGGGCAAAAUCGUCUUUUCAGGGCAUUCCAACCUCUCCCUCUUUCUCUCUCUUUGACGAUUCGACAGCCACCAACCCCAACCGAUCGCAGCCCACCCCAGGAUCCUCUCUCUGUCUCUUCCCCCUGAGCUUUCGAGUGAAGUUCCUGUAGAAUUGGCUCUGUCAUUGAAUCAGAUCUUGUAUGGUCUGCUAGAUUUCAACACCCAUGUAAUUGAGGCCGUCGCUGCUAUUGGAAAGGGAGCUGCUAAGCGAGCUAGGCUGCAGCUGGGGAAUUCUUAUUUUUGGUUGAAGGGUUGAAGCAAUGGUGCCAUGGUGGGUUGGCAGAGGAAUCUACAGUCCCUAAUCAGUCAUAUUGGUAAAAGAGUAUCUGAUGCAAACUUUUCUUCUUCUUCUCAUUUUCAAAGACUAUGGAGACAAUCUCCUCAAAUCUUUGUAACGCCUCUUUAUCACUACUUUCAGCGUUUGGUAAUCACAAUACUUUUCAAUUUUAAGACUUGAUUUUUUUUCUCUUUCUUUCAAUUUCAACUUCAGUUUCAAUUGUCACAACUUCUAUUUCGAAUUGUCACCUUUUUUUUUUUUUUUUUUGUCUUUGUUUUCGCUAUCAAAGGGGAUUUCUAGUCCAAGGAACUUGCUUGCAGAUUUGUCCGUUGAAUCAGAUGGUGAAAGUAACGAAGAACACAACCAGAAACUGCUAAACCCUCACAAGUUCAAUCUGUUUGAAGGUUUCCAAGAGAUUCUAAGUUUUUUUUUUUUAGGAAUAUUUUUGAACCAUCUGGACAUUAAGCAUAUCUUCUCUUAGGUGGGACAGUUGAAAUCUAGUUAGCAUGUACAGCCCAUUAGUCUAAGAUGUUUGGUUUUGCUUUUUAGGGUACUGCCCAAAAAAGAGAAGAAGAUGAAGACUAAUAUGGAAUUCGAUUGGCUUUGAGGGUACUGCCCUAAAAAGACGAUUUUGCCCUUGAAUUUAACGGCAAAA
This is a long non-coding RNA of Prunus persica (peach), 1126 nucleotides long. RefSeq lists it as uncharacterized. The transcript has 2 exons. The record is from RefSeq and is a predicted model, not a curated record. Lineage: Eukaryota; Viridiplantae; Streptophyta; Magnoliopsida; Rosales; Rosaceae.